RNAcentral lists this transfer RNA (73 nucleotides) under Planctomycetota bacterium. RNAcentral describes it as "tRNA-Met". It matches the Rfam family "tRNA". From Rfam's summary of the family: Transfer RNA (tRNA) molecules are approximately 80 nucleotides in length. Their secondary structure includes four short double-helical elements and three loops (D, anti-codon, and T loops). Further hydrogen bonds mediate the characteristic L-shaped molecular structure. tRNAs have two regions of fundamental functional importance: the anti-codon, which is responsible for specific mRNA codon recognition, and the 3' end, to which the tRNAs corresponding amino acid is attached (by aminoacyl-tRNA synthetases). tRNAs cope with the degeneracy of the genetic code in two manners: having more than one tRNA (with a specific anti-codon) for a particular amino acid; and 'wobble' base-pairing, i.e. permitting non-standard base-pairing at the 3rd anti-codon position. Lineage: Bacteria; Pseudomonadati; Planctomycetota. RNAcentral also lists the same sequence under 3 other names. The record is from RNAcentral.
UGCGGGGUGGAGCAGCUGGUAGCUCGUUGGGCUCAUAACCCAAAGGUCGUAGGUUCGAAUCCUGCCCCCGCUA